GUAAAUCUCACUGAAAACUGGAUGGUAUUUGAUCACAAUGUUUUCAUUUCCAUUCAGAUAUAUAUGGAACUGACCCAAUUCUGGUAUGAAUGAAUGUGCUUCAGGUUGGAGGCAAACCAUCUUCUUGUGGAAGUACCACGUUGGCCAAUCUCCAACUACNGGAAGGACAUUUGAUUUCUUAUAACUUGACUGGGAUAUGGUUCUGAAGAUCCACUAGAAUAGUGGCCAUAUGAACAGCAUUGGAUAGUUGUCGNCCUUGUGGUGUCUUAACAACAUUGAUAUUGUGGAAGUCAUCAAUCAUUAGGAUCAGAAAAUUGCCCUUCAAAUAAAAUGGUGUCUUGCAUAUCCAAGGACCAUACCAGCUGACAUUCCAGUUGAUGUCAGGCCAUGGAGAUCAAGAAAGAUAGAAGUCUCAUCAUGAAAAUAGCCAUGUCUUUGAUUUCUAUCAAAGAUAUGAUAAUUAUUAAAAUUUGAACAGCUUUUCUUUUUAUCAGUAAAUCUCAUUCAGGAAAAAAUGCAAAUUUUCAAGUCAUAUUUUAAAAAUUAGUAAGAUGCUUGAAAUGGAGUUCUGUUAAGACAAACAACAAAAGUUUUCAUGAUUUUUCAAUGAAUACCUGAAGUAUAAAAGGUCCCAUAUAAGAGAUGUUACUCUUUUUUCCUGCAUUUGAAUUUUUUUCAAUCCUUGCCUUUCAUUUGAUAUGGAACUUAGUAAAGUGUUAUAUAUGUUUGGUGCAUGGGUCAGAACAAAUCCUUUCAUAUUCUCGUGGCCAAUCAAGCGUUGCUUAUCUUUCUCCUUUUCGAGUGAUUUUCCAAGUUUAUUUAAACUAUCCUCGAAUGAUGGUUCUGUAUAGAAUAAAAAGUAAAAAAACCCUCACUAUUGUUUUGGUGUAUUAUUUUGAAACUCUCUACUGUAUUAUGCAAUAUAUACCAUUAAGUUUUGCUUGUAUAUUUUGCCAUGUAGUCUUCUCCAUCAUUACAUCCCCCUCUGAUCCAACCAAGAUUUCCCCAUGUGUUGAUUGAGCCAAGCUCCAAUAUCUUCUGUUGUCAAUCUUUUCAGAACAAUAUUCAAGCAAUCAAAUAGGCUAUUGGCAUUAUGCAAGGAGUAUAGGAAGUGGAAUGCUUAGGGCUCUUUUAUUUUUUUUCUGAUUGUAGAUACAUGAGCUUACAUUACCAAAGAAUUAGUAUGUAGUUGUAUGAUAUGAUGACAUAAUCAAAUGCAGAUUCAGGCUCAGCAGAACAGGAAGGGGAAAGUGCCCCUGAGAUUGCCUAUUAUCUGAUAACUUUUAUAUUGGUUUGUUGUAAAUUUGCUUAAAGAGUAAAAUACCUUUUCUGUUUCAAUUUGCAUAUUUCCAUUUGACUCUUCCCUCUCCUGUGUAUUUUCUAACAAUGGUCCUGUUGCAUUGUUUUCUAGUAAAGCCUGCAUUUAUGAUGUGUA
Molecule: long non-coding RNA, 1435 nt
Filed under: Exaiptasia diaphana
Lineage: Eukaryota; Metazoa; Cnidaria; Anthozoa; Actiniaria; Aiptasiidae
Description: uncharacterized LOC110250909, transcript variant X1
Source: RNAcentral